UUGAGUUUGGCUUUUUGAAUGC
This 22-nucleotide non-coding RNA is filed under the name Rattus norvegicus (Norway rat). The record is from RNAcentral. Lineage: Eukaryota; Metazoa; Chordata; Mammalia; Rodentia; Muridae.